This 208-nucleotide long non-coding RNA is filed under the name Elaeis guineensis (African oil palm). RNAcentral describes it as "long non-coding RNA (EGUI_LNC051439)". The record is from RNAcentral. Lineage: Eukaryota; Viridiplantae; Streptophyta; Magnoliopsida; Arecales; Arecaceae.
CCUUUUCUAACCACCACAAUGGCUAUUUUUUGGUUGAUGUACCUUUGCCAAGCCUUGAUCAUCCAUGAUCCUUUGUGGCGAGAGCAUGGCCACUAAUGAACAAGAUGAUGGGAAAAUCUAGUAAGCCAAAGUCGCUUAUUUUAUUUUUUUAUUGGUGUUGAACUUGGCCGGUCACCUACCAUUGACCAUUUCUUGCUUGACCACCGUC